This 3281-nucleotide unclassified non-coding RNA is filed under the name Hevea brasiliensis (rubber tree). Lineage: Eukaryota; Viridiplantae; Streptophyta; Magnoliopsida; Malpighiales; Euphorbiaceae. The record is from RNAcentral.
GUUCUGUUGUGGAAAAGUAUUAACGGAACUCAAUAUUAAUGAGAAAAUAACACUAUAAAAUACCAAACAUCUUUGCAGCUUGUCUCAUCCACACACCACUUGUUUUCAUAGUCGGUAUAAACGCUUUUAAGUGCAAUGGCUGCUUUUGCUACUAUUCUUUUCUUGUUAAUUGCCGCAGCAAAUCUUAGCUUCAGCUCCUGUUUCCAAAUUUCCAAUUAUGUGGGUUGCACAGAGAGGGAGAAACAAGCUCUUUUAAGGUUCAAGCAGGAUCUAAUUGAUCCUUCGAACCGGCUUGCCUCUUGGGUUGACCACCAAGAUUGCUGUAAAUGGGCUGGAGUUGUCUGCAACAACGAAACAGGCUAUGUCAGCGAGCUCCAUCUAAAGAAUCCUCCUUUGGAUGAUUUUUCAUCAGAAGUAAAAUCUAAAGCUUAUGAGAUGUCCAAACUAGGAGGUCAGUUAAAUCCUGCGCUGCUAAGUUUGAAGAAUCUGAUUUAUUUGGACCUGGGCGACAAUAACUUUGUGGGCAACUCAAUUCCUGAAUUUCUUGGUUCUAUGGUUAGUUUAAGGUACCUUAAUCUCUCUGUAUCGGGAUUCCAAGGAAAGGUUCCUCAUCAACUUGGAAAUCUCUCAAACCUGCAGUUUCUCGAUCUUCAAGCAAAUCAGUUACAUGUGGAGAAUCUUCAAUGGCUUUCUGGCCUUUCUUUUCUGGAAUACCUGGAUUUGAGCAUCAUAAACCUCAGCGCAGCUACUGAUUGGCUACAGGUGGUAAACAAACUACCUUCUCUGCUAGAGUUGCGCUUAUCAGAUUGUCUACUUAGUGACUUUCCUCUUUUAGCAGAUGUUAAUAUUUCUUCUUCUCUUGCUGUCCUCGAUCUUUCUGGGAACUGGUUUGACUACUCUUUGUUUCAUAGGUGGAUCUCUCGUCUCAGCAAUCUCAUUUCUCUCAAUCUCCAAGCAAAUAAUCUUCAAGGUCCAAUCCCUGAUAAUCUUCAGAACUUUACUUCACUAAAGAAUCUUGAUCUAUCAUUUAACAAUUUAAACUCUGGAUUGCCCAAUUGGUUCCACAGUUUCAGUCAUCUUGAGUACCUUAACUUUUGCUCCUGCAACCUGCAUGGUACAAUAUCUAGUGCCAUUUCCAACCUGAGCUCUACUUUUAAUAACCUUGAACUUUCAUUCAAUUAUGAAUUGAGUGGGAAAAUUCCAAGAUCGUUUGGAAAACUUUGCAACUUGGUGUCCAUUUCCCUGACCGGUGUUAAUCUUGGUCAAGAUGUAUCUGAAGUUUUGGAAAUUCUGUCAGGCUGCGCUUCUAAUACCUUAGAGUCGGUAUAUAUGGGUAAUUGUACACUUUCUGGUCAUCUGAUUAACCAACUUGGUCAAUUCAAACGUCUUAACCUUUUGUCCCUGUGGGGUAAUUCAAUUUCUGGUCCAAUUCCAGUGUCUCUUGGUGAACUUUCAUCCUUAAAAACUCUAUACCUUUAUGGUAACGAAUUGAAUGGCAGUCUUCCUACAAGUUUUGGCAAGCUUUCAAAAUUAGAAGACGCAGUGAUCUCUCAGAAUUUGUUGAAGGGUGUUGUUUCAGAAGUUCACUUUGCUACUCUCGCAAGAUUGAAGGCCUUCAAUGCAUAUGGAAACUCAUUGGUGCUGAAAGUCGACACUGACUGGGUUCCUCCUUUCCGUGUUGAAGCCUUAGCACUGGGAUCUUGGCAAUUAGGUCCUCGAUUUCCGUCUUGGCUUCAGUCUCAAGAGGACUUACUAAAAUUAGAUAUUUCUAACUCGGGAAUUUUUGAUUCUGUUCCUGCUUGGUUUUGGAAUAUGUCUCUCCAGUUCACAGUUCUUAAUCUAUCCCACAAUCAAAUCUAUGGACAAAUUCCAAGCAUAGAUGCGUUUUCAUACUCACUGGUUAUUGAUUUGAGCUCAAAUAAAUUUAUAGGUCGAUUGCCUCAUGUCUCCUCUCGUGUAGCUGCUUUGGAUGUUUCCAACAAUUCAUUGUCAGGGUCAAUAUCCAACUUCUUGUGUGACAAGAUGAAUGAACCAAGCCAAAUCGAAGUUCUCAAUCUUGCUGAUAACCAUUUCUCUGGUGAAAUACCGGACUGUUGGGGAAAUUGGCAGAAAUUGGUCGCUAUAAAGUUAGCCAACAACAAAUUUUCGGGUAAUAUUCCAGACUCAGUGGGAACUUUGAGUUCCCUUCAGUCGUUGAACCUACGGAAAAACAAUCUCUCUGGAAAGCUACCUCUGUCCCUGAGAAAUUGUUCUAAGUUGGGGUCAAUUGAUUUCUCAGAGAAUGACUUUGAUGGAAAUAUACCAACAUGGAUGGGAAAAUGGCUUCCCAAUAUAAUGAUCCUCAGCCUUCAUUCAAACAAGUUUCACGGUGCCAUACCUGACGAGUUAUGCGCUCUAACUUCUCUCCAAAUCUUGGACCUAGGGCAGAACGAGUUGUCAGGAACUAUACCAAGGUGUAUCAGCAACUUUAAAGCCAUGGUCAUAAAGAAUUAUUCAGCAACUACGUUCAUAAGCUAUGAAACUUCUGGAGGGAGUUAUUUUGAGGAUGCACUACUUGUCAUGAAAGGCAAAGUGCUCGAAUAUAGCACCACGCUUAAACUAGUCAGAAGCAUGGAUCUUUCCUACAAUUUGUUAUCAGGAGAGAUCCCCAGUAGGCAAGUCACAAGCCUUCAUGGUUUGCAAUCGCUCAACUUGUCACACAAUCUUUUGACUGGAAUGGUUCCUGAAAACAUUGGUGCAAUGGUAGAGCUAGAAUCACUUGACCUCUCUGCGAAUCAACUUUCUGGUGAAAUCCCACAAAGCAUAUCUAGUUUGACUUUUUUGAGUCACUUGAACUUGUCCUACAACAAUUUGAUUGGAAAGAUUCCAUCAAGCACUCAAUUACAAAGCUUUAGUGCAUCCGGCUUUGUGGGGAACAAACUCUGUGGAGCACCACUCGCAGAGAGUUGCAAUGAAAAUGAUGCAACACCUAAGAUUGGUAACGAUGGAGAAGAAAGUACAGGGCUAGAAGUAGUUUGGAAGGUUGUGAGCAUUACAAUAGGAUUUGUAGUAGGUUUUUGGGGCGUGUUGGGUCCUUUAAUUUUCAACAGGGCUUGGAGAAUAGAGUAUUAUCAGUUUCUUGAUCGCAUGUGGUAUAGGAUUGAGAUAAUGUUGCGACAUCUUUAAGCCUUUUGGGUGGUUAUUUUGUAACAAUGUUUCCUAGCUACUAUUUACAGUGCCUUUGGGUGAGAGUUUUUUUUUUCUUUGUAACAUAUGCAGAUUAAAUAAAAGUUGGAAGUUUU